Molecule: ribosomal RNA, 486 nt
Filed under: uncultured bacterium
Lineage: Bacteria
Description: partial 16S ribosomal RNA
Rfam family: Bacterial small subunit ribosomal RNA
Source: RNAcentral
AUUGAACGCUGGCGGCAUGCCUUACACAUGCAAGUCGAACGGCAGCACGGGUCCUUCCCCCGGGUGGCGCGUGGCGCACGUGUGAGUAAUACAUCAGUACAUCUCCUGUAGGGGGGGAUAGCCCUGCGAAAGCCGGAUUAAUACCCCAUACGCUCCACGGGUGAAAGGGGGGGCCUUUCGGGCCUCGCUCUCUAGUGUUGGCCGAUGGCUGAUUAGCUAGUUGGUGGGGUAAAGGCCUACCAAGGCGACGAUCAGUAGCUGGUCUGAGAGGACGACCAGCCACACUGGGACUGAGACACGGCCCAGACUCCUACGGGAGGCAGCAGUGGGGAAUUUUGGACAAUGGGCGAAAGCCUGAUCCAGCAAUGCCGCGUGUGUGAAGAAGGCCUUCGGGUUGUAAAGCACUUUUGUCCGGAAAGAAAUCCUUGGCUCUAAUACAGUCGGGGGAUGACGGUACCGGAAGAAUAAGCACCGGCUAACUACGUG